RNAcentral lists this ribosomal RNA (1146 nucleotides) under Triticum aestivum (bread wheat). Its description in RNAcentral is "partial small subunit ribosomal RNA". Lineage: Eukaryota; Viridiplantae; Streptophyta; Magnoliopsida; Poales; Poaceae. The record is from RNAcentral.
AUGGAUGUCGCCGCUGUGGACAAGAAGAAGAAGGUGCUGCUGGCGGAGGGGCUGUUGCUCCCGGUGAGCAUGGUGCUGGUGCAGGCCUUCACCAUGGGAACCCUCAUCCUGUCCAAGCUUGCCUUCAACGUCGGUAUGGCGCCUUUUGUCCUCCUCGCCUACCGCAACCUCAUCGGUGCCAUCACCGUUGCACCCUUCGCCUUCUACUUUGAGAGGGAGAUGAUGAAAAAGGUGAACUUGAAGGUAUGGGGCUGGAUCUCCAUCAACGCUUUGUUUGGAAUUGUGCUAGCAAUGGGACUGCACUACUACGGCCUGCGCGCCACCAAUGCGGCCUACACUGUCAAUUUCCUUAAUGUGAUCCCUGUUGUCACCUUUAUCAUUGCUAUAAUACUCCGAGUAGAGCGGCUGAAGAUUGGCACAUGCCCAGGCAAGAUGAAGGUCAUCGGUGCGGCGAUUUGCGUGGGGGGGACCAUGGUGAUCAGCAUGUACAAAGGCAAGCUGCUGCAUCUCUGGCCUACCCACCUGCUGAAACCGCAGCUGCAGUCGGUUGGUGCGGCAUCCUCUGUCCCUGACCACCACAACAUGCUCAUCGGCACACUGUUCUUAGCCGGCAGCUGCCUCAGCUACGCCUUCUGGUUCAUCAUACAGGUUCGAGUGUCCAAGGAGUUUCCGUCCAAGUACUUCUCGACAAUGCUGGCGUGUGUGUCGGGGACCGUGCAAGCGGUGGUGAUCGGGGUCAUGCUCGACAGGCGUCCAAUGGCAUGGGCGCUCAAUUGGAAUCUGCAGCUGCUCACCGUCGUUUACUCGGGGGUGUUCAACACUGGCAUCACCUUUUGCUUGAUCUCGUGGGCCAUGUCUCGUCGCGGGCCAAUAUAUCCUUCCAUGUUCAACUCGCUGUCGCUGAUAAUCACCACGGUCCUUGAUUCGGUGCUGCUUGGGACCGAUGUGUCUGUGGGGAGCUUGCUGGGAGCGCUGCUGAUCAUCAUCGGGCUGUACGCAUUCCUCUGGGGGAAAGGGAAGGAAACGCAAGAGCAGCGCAAGCAAACCAGAGAGGCGGCGAACGGAAACGGGAGCGCGGCGGGUAAUGGGCUGGACAGCGUGCAGGUUGGGAAGCACGAGGUGCGAAUUCGCGUGGAAGUGAGCUAG